RNAcentral lists this ribosomal RNA (372 nucleotides) under uncultured organism. Its description in RNAcentral is "bacterial SSU rRNA". It matches the Rfam family "Bacterial small subunit ribosomal RNA", at positions 526 to 896 of the family's 1533-position model. The record is from RNAcentral.
CGUAGGGGGCAAGCGUUGUCCGGAUUUAUUGGGCGUAAAGAGCGUGUAGGCGGCCAGACAGGUCCGUUGUGAAAACUAGAGGCUUAACCUCUAGACGUCGAUGGAAACCGUCUGGCCAGAGUCCGGAAGAGGAGAAUGGAAUUCCUGGUGUAGCGGUGAAAUGCGCAGAUAUCAGGAAGAACACCCGUGGCUAAGGCGGUUCUCUAGUACGGUACUGACGCUGAGACGCGAAAGCGUGGGGAGCGAACAGGAUUAGAUACCCUGGUAGUCCACGCCGUAAACGAUGGGUGCUAGGUGUGGGGGGUGUCGACUCCCUCCGUGCCGAAGCUAACGCAUUAAGCACCCCGCCUGGGGAGUACGGCCGCAAGGCUA